This 497-nucleotide ribosomal RNA is filed under the name uncultured bacterium. RNAcentral describes it as "partial 16S ribosomal RNA". It matches the Rfam family "Bacterial small subunit ribosomal RNA", at positions 28 to 507 of the family's 1533-position model. The record is from RNAcentral.
GAUGAACGCUGGCGGCGUGCCUAAUACAUGCAAGUCGAGCGAACAGACGAGGAGCUUGCUCCUCUGACGUUAGCGGCGGACGGGUGAGUAACACGUGGAUAACCUACCUAUAAGACUGGGAUAACUUCGGGAAACCGGAGCUAAUACCGGAUAAUAUAUUGAACCGCAUGGUUCAAUAGUGAAAGACGGUUUUGCUGUCACUUAUAGAUGGAUCCGCGCCGCAUUAGCUAGUUGGUAAGGUAACGGCUUACCAAGGCAACGAUGCGUAGCCGACCUGAGAGGGUGAUCGGCCACAUGGGAACGGAGACACGGUCCAGACUCCUACGGGAGGCAGCAGUAGGGAAUCUUCCGCAAUGGGCGAAAGCCUGACGGAGCAACGCCGCGUGAGUGAUGAAGGUCUUCGGAUCGUAAAACUCUGUUAUUAGGGAAGAACAAAUGUGUAAGUAACUAUGCACGGCUUGACGGUACCUAAUCAGAAAGCCACGGCUAACUACGUG